GACGUAGGGCGCGAGCGUUGUCCGGAUUUAUUGGGCGUAAAGAGCUCGUAGGCGGCUUGUUGCGUCGACUGUGAAAACCCGCGGCUUAACUGCGGGCUUGCAGUUGAUACGGGCAGGCUAGAGUUCGGUAGGGGAGACUGGAAUUCCUGGUGUAGCGGUGAAAUGCGUAGAUAUCGAGAGGAACACCUGCGGCGAAGGCGGGUUGCUGGGCUGACACUGACGCUGAUGCGCGAAAGCUAGGGGAGCGAACGGG
This 253-nucleotide ribosomal RNA is filed under the name uncultured bacterium. RNAcentral's name for it is "partial 16S ribosomal RNA". It matches the Rfam family "Bacterial small subunit ribosomal RNA", at positions 524 to 776 of the family's 1533-position model. The record is from RNAcentral.